This 74-nucleotide transfer RNA is filed under the name Planctomycetota bacterium. RNAcentral describes it as "Planctomycetes bacterium (bioreactor metagenome) tRNA-Val". It matches the Rfam family "tRNA". Rfam says of the family: Transfer RNA (tRNA) molecules are approximately 80 nucleotides in length. Lineage: Bacteria; Pseudomonadati; Planctomycetota. The record is from RNAcentral.
GGCCGGCUAGCUCAAUUGGUCAGAGUCUCAGCGUUACAGGCUGAUGGUUGUCGGUUCGAGUCCGACGCCGGCCA